UGGCCUACGGGAGGCAGCAGUGAGGAAUAUUGGUCAAUGGACGCAAGUCUGAACCAGCCAUGCCGCGUGCAGGAUGACGGCUCUAUGAGUUGUAAACUGCUUUUGUACGAGGGUAAACCCCGAUACGUGUAUCGGGUUGAAAGUAUCGUACGAAUAAGGAUCGGCUAACUCCGUGCCAGCAGCCGCGGUAAUACGGAGGAUCCGAGCUCUAUCCGGAUUUAUUGGGUUUAAAGGGUGCGUCGGCGGUUUGAUGAGUUAGAGGUGAAAU
RNAcentral lists this ribosomal RNA (268 nucleotides) under uncultured bacterium. Its description in RNAcentral is "partial 16S ribosomal RNA". It matches the Rfam family "Bacterial small subunit ribosomal RNA", at positions 335 to 600 of the family's 1533-position model. The record is from RNAcentral.